RNAcentral lists this unclassified non-coding RNA (130 nucleotides) under uncultured Rozellomycota. RNAcentral's name for it is "uncultured Cryptomycota sequence contains ITS1". Lineage: Eukaryota; Fungi; Rozellomycota. The record is from RNAcentral.
ACAAAUCCAAUGCUUGUGGGGUGACUUGUUAGUCAUCUUGCAAAUAUUAAUCCGCUGGCCUCGCAAGGGGCUAGUCGAUAACAUAAAUGUGUGUAGUGUUGACAGUGUGUGAUAUUUCAUUAAUUAUUGA